Molecule: ribosomal RNA, 426 nt
Filed under: uncultured beta proteobacterium
Lineage: Bacteria; Pseudomonadati; Pseudomonadota; Betaproteobacteria
Description: bacterial SSU rRNA
Rfam family: Bacterial small subunit ribosomal RNA
Source: RNAcentral
GGGGAAUAUUGGACAAUGGGCGAAAGCCUGAUCCAGCCAUGCCGCGUGAGUGAAGAAGGCCUUCGGGUUGUAAAGCUCUUUCGCAAGGAAAGAAAACUUAUCUACUAAUACUAGAUGAGGAUGACGGUACCUUGAUAAGAAGCACCGGCUAACUACGUGCCAGCAGCCGCGGUAAUACGUAGGGUGCAAGCGUUAAUCGGAAUUACUGGGCGUAAAGCGUGCGCAGGCGGUUUUGUAAGACAGUGGUGAAAUCCCCGGGCUCAACCUGGGAACUGCCAUUGUGACUGCAAGGCUGGAGUGCGGCAGAGGGGGAUGGAAUUCCGCGUGUAGCAGUGAAAUGCGUAGAUAUGCAGAGGAACACCGAUGGCGAAGGCAAUCCCCUGGGCCUGCACUGACGCUCAUGCACGAAAGCGUGGGGAGCAAACA